CGUGUCAUGGCCCGAUAGUCGCCGCUGGCCCCGCGAUUGCCAGCGAUUGCUGAGCGGUCGCUCGCGAGUCGUUCGACCCCCAAAUUCGACCGAGGUCGAGGGUGUCUCCAGCGACGGGUCCCGACGGAUCGCAGAGGUGUCCCGCCAUGGUCAGGAGUCGACGCGGACGGGGAGCGGUGUCGCGUCGAACGUGACCGAUGAGGACCGUACCGUGCUCGCUGGAUGAAAGUGCGCAUCCCGGGGGCCGCCGGCGGCGCGAGAUAAACGAUGUUCGGCAAAAAACUUCACGUGGACGUCAAAAAGUCUACGCUCAAAAUUCAGGAUGUAAAGAAAGACAGCGCUACCAGGUUUAAGCACCUGAAGAUCGUGCUCGAAAAUGUUGACAUUGACGAAGCAAAAGGAUUUUUUGAGGGCAACUUCAGUCACGUUUAUUUUAUCCUGUAUGACUGUUUCGUGUCUGCCGAAGCAAAUCUACGACAACGAGUGCAUAAAGCACACAGAGAGGAGUUGGAGCAAGUUUUGCAACUACUGGAAAAAGUCCUGACGUUGCUUCCCGAAUUACUGAACAGACGGUGGCAGUGUCAUAGUAUAGCAAGGAUAUUACACAAGCUCCUUCACCCAGGAAAUAGUUGGAAAUUGCGUAGACAAGCCAUUAGGUACUUUAUACUCUGGUAUCAAGCACUAGGUGAUAACGCUCCUGAUCACAUACACCGAAUGUUCGUUAGCUUGGUACCUGGUUUCCCUCCGAGCCAACAUCUCGCUCAUCAAAAUGACCGUAAAAUCGAAGGCAAACGCGAGAAACCCCCUAGAACGAUCAAUUGCGAGGAGAAGGAAAAAAGGGAAUUCUAUGAUACCCAUUUGGGACAAAGCAUCUUUCACGAUGGUUGUCCUGCCCAGGGUCCUGUCGGUCAAGUCGACAACGGGCCGGUAUUGCCACCGCAAAGUGGCGAAAAGCCCUUGGAUAACGAGACCGUUAGAUUCCUGGAAUCCCUCCUCGAGUUCAUGGUGACGCAAGUCGUAAAGAUCGAAUGGAGGGACAAACACACGAGACAAUACAAGGCCUUUCAGUUUUUGUUGGAACGAUUUAAGGCCACUUAUCUGCACUACAUUUGUCCCGAUUUUAAUGAGAAUUUCUCGCUGUACAAACCCAAUCUGGAGUUACCGGUGUUGCGGAAACCUUCCGCUCAAAGUCAGGACAAUUACGUGCUCUGUAAAGUAGCCCUCGUUAAAUGGAUAGCCAGUUUUACUCACAUCACCAGGAAGGAUGGCCCCUUUGCACACCUGUCGCAGAGCACAAGUCCGAGCGAUGAAAACGCGACAGAGUCGGAGCUACGCCGAGUUUCGGUUACUCAAAAUUCCAGCGACCCGAAUGCGCACUCGCCCGAGUCGAGUCUGUCGUCUCAGCACGAGAGUCAAAAUCAAAGUCAAGAGGACAGUGCGGUGUCUGCACUCGCUCUCGUAAGGGAGGUCCUUUAUGGAAGUCGCGACAACGUGAACUUCGUUCACGAGUUGUACAGGCAGGCGUUUCUCUUGGACUUUACUCAUGCCGGGGCGAUACGGAAAGCCAUUGCGGUGUAUAAGGACUGGAUACAAAUGAACGAAAUACCACCCUUUCUGCUGGAACCGUUGGAUGGGCACAAGGACCGAGACACCGAGGACGGUCAAAAGAAAGAACUCGAUACCGAUAGGAGCCCACCCGAGAGCUAUCGACAACCGCGGCUAAGAAACGACUCAUAUCUCGGAGCGAUACAUCGCGAGAAUUUAUUUGUGAGAGCGGGUUUACAAAAUGUCUUGCAGGUAUUUAUAACGCAGGCAUCGAAUGUCUUCUUCCUAGAGAGCCCGGGAGGGAAUGCGAACGCUGCCCUUCUCGAAGAACAAACCGACAGCUGUAAAAGAGUUUUGAACGUGUAUCGCUACGUCGUUAUGCAUGCCAGACUUGAGCCUGCCACUUGGGAACAAUUGCUCAGGGUGCUGCUGCAAAUCACCGCGCUGGUAUUGGAUGGGAAGGCGCUGCGGCGGAAACACCACGAGGGAAUAGGUGGAAAGUUAGCGCCCGCCAUCUUUCAGACGUUGAUCGUCACGUGGAUAAAGGCAAAUCUGAACGUUGUAAUUUCCGCGCAGCUCUGGGACCAAUUUCUCGAGGUGCUGACAUCUCUCACGCAAUGGGAAGAAUUGAUUCAGGAGUGGGCGAAAACAUUGGAUACUCUAACGAGGGUUUUGGCAAGACACGUGUACAACCUGGAUUUGAAUGACUUGCCGCUAGACAGACUUAGCGAACAAAAGUCAAAGAGACGCCGAGGCGUCGGGAGUCGGGCCGCAUCGGCAGGAAGUGUGCAACCUCCCCGCAGAGGAAGCGUCGACCAGGAGAUCAAUGUUAUCUCGAAGGACCACGUCUCCGAUCAUCCUUUAAGAGACCCAAGGAAGAUCAGGCCGUUGCCGAGGAGCGCCAGUGACAACUCAAUUUACGUCGGUAAGAGUCGCAACAAGAUGCACAAGGGACGAACGCAUUCUACCAAUGCCGGCGUUCCAGCUAUUCCGACUUUUAUAGAGCAAGAUAUGGCCAGGAUGGUUCGAUCUAGUGGCUUCAGAGUCUCGGGAUCCAGCACGAAAUUGUCGCCGAGCAGACGUGCUAGGUCCUUGGACAGCGUCGUCGUGAUGGACAGCGAUCCUCCGACUCCUCGAUGCCCCUCUCCGACACCGAGCAGCGGUGUCGACAGUAACAAGGAUAGUCCCAUUCAGAUCGAAAAUAUCGACGGCAGCAGCAUAGGUAUCUAUACAAAUGAUGCGUCGGAGAGAAGGUCCGUCAUGGCCGGAGGUGGAGUCCGCGGCUGGUUACCGGAUGUUGCGGUCGUACUGUGGCGACGAAUGUUAUCGGCCCUUGGAGACGUGAACAGUAUUCAAGAUCCCACUCUUCAUGGCAGAGUCAUGGAUUACCUUGUGCAACUUACGCAAACUAUGAUUAAGAUACGGAUGAAUCAAGGCGUUUCCGGUGACAACCAAGCGACUCCACCGGCCCCUGAACUUGUCCCACCGUUGACGGUCAUAGCUCCAUGGUGCUUUAAGGCCAUCCAAUUGCCCCAGCAAUACGAGGUGGGAAAACUGGCAGCAUAUCGGUUGAUUUGUAUGCUAACUGUUCAACCGUUGGAUAUUCCUUUGCCGAAACAACACUUGACUCUCUUCUAUAGAGCCGUGCAUACCGGUAUCGUUAGCAACGAUAUCAAGGUAUUGCAUACGAUUAUUAAGCAUACAGGACCGAGGUUAUUCAGCUUAAAACUUCCCGGAUCCAGCCUCUUAAUUUAUGAUUACAUUCACUCGGCUAGCGUGAUUCUAAACAGUCAAGAUAUAGAGGCGCCGAGAACCGAAGCUGUUUCGAUACUAGGGUCGUUGCUAUCGCUUCCUUCUACCGUGACAAAAUUGCCUGUCUUGCAGCCGAAUGGAACGGACGUGUCAACCAUAACUUGUCCUGAUAUCAAGGAGCACAUAGUGACGAUUCUCUUAAAGACUUGCAGACAGGAACCUACGGGAGUCGCAAGAUGUGUCGCUAUUUCCAGUGUCGGUAUGUUCGUCUAUCGGGAGUUAUGUUGCAAAUCGCAGCAUCCAAAAAUACCGGAAGCUAUUACGGUACUCCUCUUGGCGAUUACGGCUACGCAUCCGACCGUGGCUCAAGUUGCGUGCGAUUGUCUUCUUCUGCUGUGCGACGAGGCGGACACGUUGUUAGAAUUUUACCCCAACAUUCCUGCUAAAAUUAUUCAGGUAUUAUCGGAGACACUUGGCCGUAGAGCCGGACGCGAGGAACGCGCACCUCUAAAUAUAUCCAUGUUAUUUUGUUUGGGAGAGUGGGCGAUGCAUCUGGGACCUGGCGUGCUGUUGCGUGAAUUCCAAGGAACAUCCUUGUUAUUGACCUUGUUUACAGUAUUGGACAACUUGGUACAACGCAAAGUCGACACUGAUUUUUGGGAUACGGAGAGGAAUCAUCAGCACGAUGGCGACUUCGACCCGGACAUCAGUCUUGACAAUUUACUCGACGAAACGCACGGAAAGUCCCCUCGACGCGGAAACGUUCGAUCAGUUCGAUUGGCAGCUAAAAUGGUCUUAAUGCAUUUGGUGAACCACUUGGGCCACUUCCCGAUGGGCAUCGGUGCGGCACGGUUGUCAUCCAUGGUCGUGGAGCUGGACGACGUGCCCGGCAUAGACAGCGACGAGCUCUCUUCGGCGGUUUUCCAAGCGCCGAAUGUGCAGCUCUUGAUGCUCUCUAAUUCCAUUAUAAUGUCGUUAAUCGAAUUGGCCGCUUUAGACGCUCCUGGCGGUGGAGGUGUUACCGCCGGGUUGACGACUGCUCCGUCUACGGUCAGAGUCUUAUUGAGAGAUUUAGCUGGUAAAGCUUCCUGGGACAGUUCGAUCUUGUACAGUCAACCAUUUACCGAGGAUGAUUCAACGACGCCAUAUCCCCCAUCCGUAGUCGAAUGGAGUGGCGACUUCCAUAGAAAAAAUCCGUCCAAUGUUUCGUCGUUGCAAAGCUGCCUACCUCGCCACACUCUGAGACACCGCGACCCCAACGUUCUUCCUACAUACGAAAACGCUGCAAGUGACAUGGAUAAUUUAGACGAUCUUCUGCAGUAUAUAGGUCACACGAGUCCGGAAGUCUUGACAAAUCCAGAAUUAUCGCUCAAUGCCCCAGCCAGCCCACCUCAGGGACAUUACUUCGAAGGCGAAGUCAUCGCCACCAUACUGAACCAGAGAAACAUAGAACGGGAUCAUAUCGAUAGUUGUAGCCAGCAUGUCAGUACAUGGGUUCCCGCGGCGAAUCCGCCGAUAUCUCGUAUUCCGCCUGCGCCUUUUCACCACUGCCGACUUCUAUUUUCGCAUCUCGGCCUGUCCGGAUGGGAGCAACGAAGAAAGCUGCAUCUACUCUCGAAAAACGAGAAACUCCUGCGGGAAUUGCGUAACUUAGACGGACAGCGGUCUCGAGAAACUCACAAGAUGGCUGUCAUAUACGUUAGUCAAGGCCAAGAGGACAAGAAUUCGAUAUUAAACAACGUCGCGGCUAGCAAAGAGUAUGAAAGUUUCGUCGCUAGACUGGCGUGGGAGGUCGAGCUUGAAUCGCAUACUGGCUUCAUGGGAGGAUUGAUUCCCGGCAAAGCUUCUGGCGCCACAGCGCCGUACUACGCGACAUCCUUCACCGAAAUUCUUUUCCACGUUGCCACGAGAAUGCCGUCCGAUAGUCCCGAAAGCCUGCUGCAAAAAACUAGACACCUAGGGAACGAUGAAAUCCACAUUGUAUGGUCCGAGCACUGGCGGGAUUACCGCAGAGACAUCAUACCGACGGAAUUUUGCGACGUUUUGAUAGUAAUAUACCCACUACCGAAGAAACUGUUUAGGGUCCAGAUAUCGAGGAAAGCGGAGAUUCCCUUCUUCGGGCCGCUGUUCAACGAGUGCAUCGUCGAAGACGCCGUCUUGCCCGGAUUGGUCAGGGGAACCGCUCUGGCGGCUAGUAGAGCCAAGAGGUCGACCCUGACUUUGUACCAGCACUAUUACGAAGAGAGGGCGAGGUCCAUCGACACCGUUAUGAAGAACCACAAGGAGUCGACGACAUUCGAAGAGUUCGCCGCUAAUGUCUACUGUCCGGUGCAGCCACCGAGUCCCUUCAGCGGAGCGUCCUCCGUAUCCGGUUCGACGACCAGCGUGCAGUCGACGACAUCGACGAAUCUGGCAGCGGCGCUCAUAGACUCGCAUCAGGGCAGGCCUGGUCUCCGUAGUAAUUCCACGGCGAGCAGUGAAAACCGCGCGAACAGAGGUGACUAGCUCACUCCACUAACCCCCAUCCACUUUGUAACACCACCCAACCACCCCAAUUUCCGAUGGCAGUAGAGUGUGGUUUAGUGGCGAUACGCAGGACAGUGCGACCUUCCACGGGAUUUCACCGAGGCCCGUGAAAAAGA
Molecule: unclassified non-coding RNA, 5939 nt
Filed under: Orussus abietinus
Lineage: Eukaryota; Metazoa; Arthropoda; Insecta; Hymenoptera; Orussidae
Description: ral GTPase-activating protein subunit alpha-1, transcript variant X1
Source: RNAcentral